Molecule: ribosomal RNA, 440 nt
Filed under: uncultured bacterium
Lineage: Bacteria
Description: partial 16S ribosomal RNA
Rfam family: Bacterial small subunit ribosomal RNA
Source: RNAcentral
CCUACGGGUGACAGCAGUGGGGAAUAUUGGACAAUGGGCGCAAGCCUGAUCCAGCGACGCCGCGUGAGGGAAGAAGGCUUUCGGGAUGUAAACCUCUUUUAGGAGGGAAGAAAAUGACGGUUCCUGACUUUGAUACUCCGGCUAACUACGUGCCAGCAGCCGCGGUAAUACGUGGGGGGCACGCGUUAUCCGGAUUUAUUGGGUGUAUAGGGAGCGUAGACGGGAGGACAAGUCUGAUGUGAAAUGCCGGGGCUUAACCCCGGAACUGCAUUUGAAACUGUGUGGCUUGAGUGCAGGAGAGGUUAGCGGAAUUCCUAGUGUAGCGGUGAAAUGCGUAGAUAUUAGGAAGAACACCAGUGGCGAAGGCGGAUGACUGGACUGUAACUGACGGUGAGGCUCGAAAGCGUGGGGAGCAAACAGGAUUAGAUACCCGUGUAGUC